Molecule: ribosomal RNA, 497 nt
Filed under: uncultured bacterium
Lineage: Bacteria
Description: bacterial SSU rRNA
Rfam family: Bacterial small subunit ribosomal RNA
Source: RNAcentral
GAUGAACGCUAGCGGGAGGCCUAAUACAUGCAAGUCGAACGGUAACAGGUAGCAAUACGCUGACGAGUGGCGCACGGGUGCGUAACGCGUACACAAUCUGCCUUAUACUGGGGCAUAGCCUUUGGAAACGAAGAAUAAUUCCCCAUAAUAUAUAGAAGAGGCAUCUCUUUCAUAUUAAAGCUCAGGCGGUAUAAGAUGAGUGUGCGUCCGAUUAGGUAGUUGGUGAGGUAACGGCUCACCAAGCCAACGAUCGGUAGCUGGUCUGAGAGGAUGAUCAGCCACACGGGCACUGAGACACGGGCCCGACUCCUACGGGAGGCAGCAGUAGGGAAUAUUGGACAAUGGGCGCAAGCCUGAUCCAGCCAUCCCGCGUGAAGGAUGAAGGUCCUCUGGAUUGUAAACUUCUUUUCUUCGGGAAUAAAAACUGGGGUUCUCCUCAGCUUGAAGGUACCGAAGGAAUAAGCACCGGCUAACUCCGUGCCAGCAGCCGCGGUAAU